This 336-nucleotide long non-coding RNA is filed under the name Phascolarctos cinereus (koala). RNAcentral's name for it is "lncRNA (ENSPCIG00000031535.1)". The record is from RNAcentral. Lineage: Eukaryota; Metazoa; Chordata; Mammalia; Diprotodontia; Phascolarctidae.
CGGCGGAGAGGGGCGGGAGGCGGGGGAGAGCGCGAGCUCCGAGAAGGGAAGGCGCAUGGGCAGACCAACUGCAAGUCGGUUUGUCUAGAGACCCCGGGGGGGAGGGGUAGGAGUCGCCGCCAUUUUGUGGUAGGCUUGCUCCUCCGAGUUGGAGCUUUUUUUUUAUAGCUCCCCUCCCCCCUUAAAAUUUUUUUUUCCCCCCUCGGAAAGCGGUUGUGGUGCCGAAGGAGACCUCCCAAGCUCGGCUGGGGGCUUCAGACUCUGCAGCCGCGUUAAGUUGGUUUUACAGAAUUAUCAGGUCUUCGAGAAAAAAAAAAUAAACAAACAGGUCAUUAU